Bombus terrestris (buff-tailed bumblebee) is the source of this 816-nucleotide long non-coding RNA. RefSeq lists it as uncharacterized. The transcript has 3 exons. Lineage: Eukaryota; Metazoa; Arthropoda; Insecta; Hymenoptera; Apidae. The record is from RefSeq and is a predicted model, not a curated record.
AACGCAGAACGCCAUGGAGCAGCGAGAGGAGAGAAGAGGAGCGAAGAGGAGAGGAGAAGAGAGGAGAGGAGAGGAGAGAAGAGGAGAAGUGAGGAGAAGAGGGUAACGCGGUGCAAGCUUGUAGGGAGCGUCAGUGUCAGUGUGCAUGCGGACGGCGAGUCGGCUGGCGGUGUGGGAGUUGGCGUUGCGUCGCAUCGGCAGCCAACCUGCAAUUGCAACUGUGAACGCCAACUCGUAGAGCGCGAGUUUCGAACCGAUCCAUCGGCAGAUCGAACGUGUCGACUCGAGUUCCGUCCGUUCGAGCCGACAGUGCGCGACGUUCCGGACGAUGCGAGACAAGUUCGUUGCUUCGCGAUCGCGGAGUGGCUGGUUCAUCGAGCGAGAUAUUUCUGCGUACGAUUGCUCCUCCGAUCGAUCAUCCAUAGGAAGCUCGUAUUGACCGGGUUUCAAGGGCCGCGUUAGUGUUUGUGGUGGUGAUGGUGGUGGUGGUAGUGGUCGAGAAAAUCGAGUGGUUACGGCGGUGUCGAUCGAUCGUCGGAAUUCCCGGCUGCUGUUCGGACAGGUUGUCUUUCACGGAACGAUGAGACCAUCCGUCUAUCGAUAACCGAUCGUCUCGAUACACCGCCGCGUGGGUGCAUCUAGUGCGAAAAAGUGAACAGGAUCCUUGUCCGGGAUAUACCGCUCAUUCAAGUGUUGAGUCGCAAGACAGAAUGUGCAGCAAGUGCAGCGAGUGUUGCCAGGGAUCUAGGCACAGUGUGGAUGCUAGCCCCACGCCAGGAUCAGAUUCCGAAUCUUCAGGUAACGUGAGAGCGACGG